This 227-nucleotide ribosomal RNA is filed under the name Klebsiella pneumoniae. Its description in RNAcentral is "partial 23S ribosomal RNA". It matches the Rfam family "Bacterial large subunit ribosomal RNA", at positions 2704 to 2925 of the family's 2925-position model. RNAcentral also lists the same sequence under 1 other name. The record is from RNAcentral. Lineage: Bacteria; Pseudomonadati; Pseudomonadota; Gammaproteobacteria; Enterobacterales; Enterobacteriaceae.
CAUCACUGGUGUUCGGGUUGUCAUGCCAAUGGCACUGCCCGGUAGCUAAAUGCGGAAGAGAUAAGUGCUGAAAGCAUCUAAGCACGAAACUUGCCCCGAGAUGAGUUCUCCCUGAGACUUUAAGUCUCCUGAAGGAACGUUAAAGACGAUGACGUUGAUAGGCCGGGUGUGUAAGCGCAGCGAUGCGUUGAGCUAACCGGUACUAAUGAACCGUGAGGCUUAACCUU